Molecule: ribosomal RNA, 497 nt
Filed under: uncultured bacterium
Lineage: Bacteria
Description: partial 16S ribosomal RNA
Rfam family: Bacterial small subunit ribosomal RNA
Source: RNAcentral
GAUGAACGCUGGCGGCGUGCCUAAUACACGCAAGUCGAGCGAACAGACGAGGAGCUUGCUCCUCUGACGUUAGCGGCGGACGGGUGAGUAACACGUGGAUAACCUACCUAUAAGACUGGGAUAACUUCGGGAAACCGGAGCUAAUACCGGAUAAUAUAUUGAACCGCAUGGUUCAAUAGUGAGAGACGGUUUUGCUGUCACUUAUAGAUGGAUCCGCGCCGCAUUAGCUAGUUGGUAAGGUAACGGCUUACCAAGGCAACGAUGCGUAGCCGACCUGAGAGGGUGAUCGGCCACACUGGAACUGAGACACGGUCCAGACUCCUACGGGAGGCAGCAGUAGGGAAUCUUCCGCAAUGGGCGAAAGCCUGACGGAGCAACGCCGCGUGAGUGAUGAAGGUCUUCGGAUCGUAAAACUCUGUUAUUAGGGAAGAACAAAUGUGUAAGUAACUAUGCACGUCUUGACGGUACCUAAUCAGAAAGCCACGGCUAACUACGUG